Rhododendron vialii is the source of this 470-nucleotide long non-coding RNA. RefSeq lists it as uncharacterized. The transcript has 3 exons. The record is from RefSeq and is a predicted model, not a curated record. Lineage: Eukaryota; Viridiplantae; Streptophyta; Magnoliopsida; Ericales; Ericaceae.
UGAGUCGAAAUAAAAUAUAGUUUUGAGGGGUAUAUAUAUAGACACGGCACCUGACACCCAUCAUAUCACUUGUAAACAGAGUUUCAACAGAUACUUAACAAGUCCCUUGCAGUUGGUGUUGUUUCUGCUAGAAAAAAAUGGCCAAGACCGAGCAGCAAGAGAACCAACCCCCUCCAGGGUACCCAAGUGAAAAUCCUCCAACGGUGAAGAAGAAGUGGUUUCCUGGCACGAAGAAGAGAGGAGAGAAGGGCUUCAUUGAGGGUUGCCUUGCUGCUCUGUGUUGCUGUUUUAUCUGUGAAGAAUGCUGCUGAAAGAUGACUCUUUUAGGGCAAUAUCUGCAUAAGAACAUUGUGUCAAUCAUAUUUAUAUCAUGGCUAUGAGCUUGUAAUAUUCCUAGAUCGUGUAACUUGUCGUAUAGUUGAUGUUAUUUGUGAUCAACUAGAGAGCUAAUAAAAAUUUAUGUUUGUGCU